GCACGGUUUGCAAACAAGCUAUUUUUUCAAUUAUAUGGCUCUUUAUCUUUUUAUUUUAAGUUUGGCAACGUAAAAUAAAAUAGUUAAAAUUCUUAUUUUCUCCCGAAAGAUUAUACUCCCUCGAUAUUAUUGCUGUUCGAUUGGAUUUAGUUUUUUAAACUUAUUUUUGAAAAUAAUUUUAUUGCACUCAAAAACUCCACAGCUCACUCGUUGUUAAAUUAUUUACUCAAGCAAUAAAACUUCUCUUCGUUGUAUUUAUCAAAUCACAAAAAUAUGAAAAAGCAAAGCUCAUCAGCUGACUGGCUUUAUCAUCUACAUUUUUGGAGAGCCGCAAAAUAACAAACAAUGGUCUUUUUGAGCAGUCGUACGGAUUAUUUGAAUCAUGAUAAGAAAUGCAGGUGCAUUUUUAUUAUUUGCUGAAUCCUUUCCAAAAUUUUUCAUUCAGUAACUGUAAGUUCUUAUUAUCUAGUGCGUUGGAAUUGUUUUGAUGGGUGCAUCGUUCCAAAAAUACGACUGGAAACCGACACGUAGAGCAUGCCAUCCUGGCGAAAAACAGCUUCACUAAAAUCGUGCUACUGUCUGGCUAUCUCUCGUGGUACAUUUCGUUUCGUCACUAAACCAUUUUAAUAGAACCUGAGACACAUUGGCGCACUACAGAACAAGAUCAUGUCCAAAGAAAAAGAAGCUAUUUGGAGACGCAGCAAAACUUCUGACACUCCAAAUGAUAAUGCUGUAAUUCCUCUAAGGAAAGAAAUGAAGAAAAACUUCAGUCAAGGGUUACCCACACCAGCUCCUAAACUUAGUGCAAAAAAGACUUCUCGUGGAGGAAAAAUCGCCAAUGAUCUUAUAGGACCUGAAUCAACGGCUAAAAAUUGCAGUCGAGGCGGUGGUGACUCAAGCUGGCUACACUCUCAGUUCUGUAAUUUAACGCCAAUCCAGCAAACAUCACGGCGAAGGCUUGUGGAGAUCAAAGUGAUUCAGAAGCAUUUCUUAGUCAGGAUGAAAGUAGUAACAAUCCUGUGAAAUCUAGUCACCUAUUCAGUUCACUCUCUCCUGAAAUCAAUCUUCAGAGGAUGGGGUACUCUGUAAGUGACACCAUUGAUUGGGACAAGAUACAGCUGCCUCCUAAAUCAGAUCUCCACAAGCAAAUUCAUUUUAGGAUAACUAAUUGCAUGUAAGUGUGCUGCGAUUUUUUUUCACUCAGUAUUUUAUAAGUGUACAACUGCGAGUAAGUUGACUUUCAAAUACAUUUGAGUAAUUACUGGUACAUGGAAAAAAUAAAAUUUCCAAGUAUCAUAGUAUAUCUGCUGGUAAUCAAAUCAAUGAGCUUCAUUAAGCAUUUUCCAUAUGACACCCAGAGACUUUCAUGAGGCUUUCAAAAAUUAGCGGAACAGGAUGUCCAGUGAAAGGGAAAGACAGUGAGAGUUAAGAUGAGAAUAUGCAUAACCAAGAUAGUCGCAAACUCCAAUGCAAGAUCUUGAUCUUUUGUAUAACGUAUACAUAACACAUCAAUACUGAGCUCUGCAGCGCUCUCUCUCAGUUCACAGUGAAUUUUACCCUUGGAAAUUUUAGCCUUCACAGACCCGGAACAGGACUUUGCGCUAACCCAUGUUUAUUUGUGUAUUUCUUUUUAUUUGGAAGAAAAGUACAAGGAGAAUCAGAGGAAGUCAGGGAGACAUAAAAUCAAAAUCAAAAACUUUGAAAGUCAGAUAAAAGGGAAAGUAAUUUUUUCUAGACAUUCUAAUGAACCUCUUUUCUCUGUAAAUAUUUGUCGAAACUAUCAUUUCUUUUCUUCUUCUUCAACUAACAGCUGAGACACAGCCCUGUUUGUCAAGCUCUUGAGCACCGAGCACGAAUAAAUCACUAAUGAGUAUAAAAUAUUGGUCAAAAUUAAAAUGAAGAACAGCAAUAGCAACUUUCAAUUAUCUUAAGCAGAAGAGACCAUUUACAUUAUCGAUUUACCGUGGGAACCAUGAGCCAUAGCUUUGAUUUAUUUACCUUGCUCCUGCUUAAAAAUUAUUGAUCACUACAGUUAAUGGUGAAAAUUAUUGUCAUCAUAAUAUGUAACCCUCUUGUCUCCUUAUUUUCCAGUAAUCCAGAUGUUUUAAUUCGAAUAGGGACAAGUGAAUUCCGCUAUCAUAUGCUAGUUUUACAAUCCUACUCUUUCUUUUUUUGAUGAGAAGUCAACAAGGCAGAUUGAACUACCAGAGGUAAGGGAGCAACUGCUUUCUUUCACCAAACUGUUUUGACAAUAUGUUGGCUUCACUGAGAAGGUAUGCAAGAAAAGAUGCACGACUUUAUUUAAGAAUUUUCUCUGAGAUGCUUUUGGAGCACCUAGAUUCCGAGAAUUUCAAGCUGGAACAAGCUUCAAAAAUUAUUUUUUGAAUUUUCAAUGAAUAUUUAUGAUAUAUCUAAAUAUCUUAGAUAUUUAGAAUAUCUAAUCAUAUUGAAAACAGAUCUAUGUAAAGAAGAAAGAGAAAGAGAUAUUGACAUAAUGUUGUAGGUAUGACCCUCAGUUUUUGUGCUCAUCAUUAAGAAAAAAUCCCAUUCAAGAAAAAUUUUCCCAAUUAGAGCUACAUACCUUGUUUUUCGCUACUGUAGUUCAAUCAGAACGUCUUUUAAGUCUGAUUAGACCCAGCGUCAGUGCAUUACAGCCCCCUGUCUUUAUUUUCUGCUUCUAAGCUUGGAAGCGUUGUUCAAACUACACCAAGAAUUGAGCAAGCGGCCACUAAAUCUGUCCCUAAUCUGAGUGUUGCUUCAAACCCAUUUUAGUUUAUUGAAAAAAUUGAACUGGAACAAAUUUAUUCACAAUUUUGGGUUCUAAAGUCACCAAGAAAAGUCAAAAAUUUUAUUUUCAACACUCCUGG
RNAcentral lists this long non-coding RNA (2867 nucleotides) under Bemisia tabaci. RNAcentral's name for it is "lncRNA ENSSWEETPG008165". Lineage: Eukaryota; Metazoa; Arthropoda; Insecta; Hemiptera; Aleyrodidae. The record is from RNAcentral.